AGGAGGAACAGCCCCAGUGGCGGAGGCAGCUCUGGAGCCCUGGAGUCAGCUCCGGCAGGAACUCCGUCUGCAGGGCCUGGAGUCUCCGGGCGGGG
Molecule: microRNA precursor, 95 nt
Filed under: Canis lupus familiaris (dog)
Lineage: Eukaryota; Metazoa; Chordata; Mammalia; Carnivora; Canidae
Description: mir-8834 microRNA precursor family
Rfam family: mir-8834 microRNA precursor family
Source: Rfam by way of RNAcentral